RNAcentral lists this ribosomal RNA (162 nucleotides) under Klebsiella pneumoniae. Its description in RNAcentral is "partial 16S ribosomal RNA". It matches the Rfam family "Bacterial small subunit ribosomal RNA", at positions 1381 to 1533 of the family's 1533-position model. Lineage: Bacteria; Pseudomonadati; Pseudomonadota; Gammaproteobacteria; Enterobacterales; Enterobacteriaceae. The record is from RNAcentral.
UUGUACACACCGCCCGUCACACCAUGGGAGUGGGUUGCAAAAGAAGUAGGUAGCUUAACCUUCGGGAGGGCGCUUACCACUUUGUGAUUCAUGACUGGGGUGAAGUCGUAACAAGGUAACCGUAGGGAACCUGCGGUUGGAUCACCUCCUUACCUUAAAGAA